Long non-coding RNA from Astyanax mexicanus (Mexican tetra), 443 nucleotides. RefSeq lists it as uncharacterized. The transcript is spliced from 2 exons. Lineage: Eukaryota; Metazoa; Chordata; Actinopteri; Characiformes; Acestrorhamphidae. The record is from RefSeq and is a predicted model, not a curated record.
UUCAGUCACCAGAUGGUUCCAUUGAGGGCAAAGAGAAAAAAAAUCACUUGCAUGACUUGACUGUCAGCCUGCUCUAUUUGCCUACUCCUCGGCGCCGGGGUCGCGCUGGAGUCUUUAAUGGUUAUAAAACACCUGCUCAGCAAAUCAAACAAACAAAACGGCACGGGCGAGCUGAAAGCCAAAUACCUAUGUGAUCAGGUUAGCAUGGACAGCCAGCUAUGAGUGCUCGUGAUGAGCCAGGAAGCACCGGCAGAUGUCUCACCUUUAGAGCUUUACAAAGGAAUGCAGAAAGAGAGCAGAUAUUCCUCCAAAAACUCCAAGGACUACGGUACAAGAGUCCUCACAGCAUGAAGAAAUAAGAAUUACAUUCCUGGAAUGUAAAAAAUUGUUUUGUUUGUGUUUAUGUCUAUUUAUUGAAUAAAAGUGGUUGAACUGUCAAACUA